GAUUGUAAAGCUCAAUUUUAAUAGUCCAAUUCUCAUCUCUUCACAAAAUUUCAUCUUUUAUCAAAUUUAAUAGUUCAACCAAGCAUACAAAACAAUCCAUUAUAAGAAUUUGAUCCGGGUGAUGCAAAACCAGAACAAGAACACAGGCAAAUAACGGGAAAGAGAACUAAUUCCAAAAUAUUAUUAAUCUGAUAAAAUUGUCAUAGCGAAUCUGAAAAUUACGAAUAACUAGGCCUAUUUAUA
This 243-nucleotide unclassified non-coding RNA is filed under the name Hevea brasiliensis (rubber tree). Lineage: Eukaryota; Viridiplantae; Streptophyta; Magnoliopsida; Malpighiales; Euphorbiaceae. The record is from RNAcentral.